GGGCCCGCACAAGCGGUGGAGUAUGUGGUUUAAUUCGAUGCAACGCGAAGAACCUUACCAGGGUUUGACAUCCUGCGAAUCUCUUGGAAACGAGAGAGUGCCUUCGGGAGCGCAGUGACAGGUGGUGCAUGGCUGUCGUCAGCUCGUGUCGUGAGAUGUUGGGUUAAGUCCCGCAACGAGCGCAACCCACGUCUUUAGUUGCCAGCAUUUAGUUGGGCACUCUAGAGAGACCGCCGGUGAUAAACCGGAGGAAGGUGUGGAUGACGUCAAGUCAUCAUGCCCCUUACAUCCUGGGCUACACACGUACUACAAUGCUACGGACAAAGAGCAGCAAGUUCGCGAGGACAAGCAAAUCUCAUAAACCGUGGCUCAGUUCAGAUCGUAGGCUGCAACUCGCCUACGUGAAGCUGGAAUCGCUAGUAAUCGG
This 427-nucleotide ribosomal RNA is filed under the name uncultured bacterium. Its description in RNAcentral is "bacterial SSU rRNA". It matches the Rfam family "Bacterial small subunit ribosomal RNA", at positions 917 to 1345 of the family's 1533-position model. The record is from RNAcentral.